Molecule: small nuclear RNA, 19 nt
Filed under: Arabidopsis thaliana (thale cress)
Lineage: Eukaryota; Viridiplantae; Streptophyta; Magnoliopsida; Brassicales; Brassicaceae
Description: snRNA_08113
Source: RNAcentral
GAUCCUGCGUGAUCAUUGA